GCUUGUUGGAGUUCCCUUGAAUGAAAUGCUUUUGCUGCCUUGCAUGGCCACAAGAAGAUUCUUCCUUUGUUUCUCAUCACUGGCUCCCACUACCUCUCCCACUUCGCCACCCACAGAGAAAAUGCCAGCCUUCGUCUGUGCUGUAAAAUCUUCUUGUUAUAACACGGAAGCAACUCCAGAGCCACUGAUAUUGUGAAACAUCUGGUAACUGCAAGCUGUGAGCUCCUAUGAGAUAAUCACAGGCCUGGAAAAUUAGGAGAACUUCCUCAACUCAGUUGUAUUUCAUGUUUUGUAAUACCCCCGAGUGCGGUUACCUCAUAAUACAGUAAUCACUCUGUUUCUGUGCCGUAAAUGAAACCGCAGAUGCUACACUGGGGUGGAACGACCACCUCUUAACAUAAAUAAAUGAUCAAAGUACCAUUAUUUUGAACCAAA
Long non-coding RNA from Podarcis raffonei (Aeolian wall lizard), 435 nucleotides. RefSeq lists it as uncharacterized. The transcript has 2 exons. NCBI's taxonomy places the organism in Eukaryota, Metazoa, Chordata, Lepidosauria, Squamata, Lacertidae. The record is from RefSeq and is a predicted model, not a curated record.